GUCCGGAUUAGCUGAGAGGUGGUGCAUGGCCGUCGUCAGUUCGUACUGUGAAGCAUCCUGUUAAGUCAGGCAACGAGCGAGACCCACGCCCACAGUUGCCAGCGUACUCUCUGGAGUGACGGGUACACUGUGGGGACCGCCGCUGCUAAAGCGGAGGAAGGAAUGGGCAACGGUAGGUCAGUAUGCCCCGAAUAUCCCGGGCUACACGCGAGCUACAAUGGUUGGUACAAUGGGUAUCUACCCCGAAAGGGGACGGGAAUCUCCUAAAACCAAUCUUAGUUCGGAUUGAGGGCUGCAACUCGCCCUCAUGAAGCUGGAAUCCGUAGUAAUCGCGUUUCAACAGAACGCGGUGAAUACGUCCCUGCUCCUU
This 370-nucleotide ribosomal RNA is filed under the name uncultured Methanosaeta sp. RNAcentral's name for it is "bacterial SSU rRNA". It matches the Rfam family "Archaeal small subunit ribosomal RNA", at positions 969 to 1338 of the family's 1478-position model. Lineage: Archaea; Methanobacteriati; Methanobacteriota; Methanomicrobia; Methanotrichales; Methanotrichaceae. The record is from RNAcentral.